RNAcentral lists this long non-coding RNA (394 nucleotides) under Nicotiana benthamiana. RNAcentral's name for it is "long non-coding RNA (NBEN_LNC040739)". Lineage: Eukaryota; Viridiplantae; Streptophyta; Magnoliopsida; Solanales; Solanaceae. The record is from RNAcentral.
GGGAUGAUUAGAUGAGGUUUCCAUGUGUGUGUCUUCGGGAGCAUCUUCUCCUGUGGGAUCAUAGCCAGUUUUUCACUGCGAGUGGUUAUCUAAAGUAAAGGUAAACGAGGGUGACAGAUCGAUGAGGGCGCUCCUGCUUAUCGGUUAUACCCUUCGACCCCUGUUUUAGCAGCUAGCGAAAAGGCUUCGUUCUGCUGUUCCCCGUGAGUGGUCUAAAUCAGCUGCGGUAGUUAAGGUUUGGAACAAAUGAGCCUAAGGGAACGAAGUUGUGAGCCUUUAGUAAUAUAUGAAUAAGAGAUAUUUGAAAUAAUAAAACCUGAUGGUUCCUGUCCUGAAACGAAGGAUGCGAAGAAAGUACUGCCGCCUGUCAUCAUGCUCAAUCAGUAAUAAGUUG